AGAUCCUCGCUGAUAACAAAGCUGCUUUGUGGAUCAGUGUCGCCUCUGUUUACACUGCAGCCUCGGACGAGAAGAGAAAACGUAAGCUGGGUUUGGUGAAUGGCUUCUCUCACACCUUCGUAUUGCCAUCCGGGAAACUGGCAAUCCUGUCUCUAAACCUUUCGAGUACAGCCUAGUUUGACCAGGGCGGGCCCCGCAUCGCUGUCGCCGUGUUCCCGCUCCGAGGGCCUCUUGCUGGACUCCAGCAGCUCCACGCCAGCCUCUGCUCUCCCUACGACCACCGGUCUAUGCGCAGCCAAGCCUUCCGGAAGGGUUUUCCUGAAAUGUUAUUAUACACACGUUGAUGUGCCUCCCUCCGUUGAACACAAGCUCCCUUCUGAAAUCGAGGAACUGCUGUGCCUUGUUUAGCUGCUUUGCCCCAGUUCCUCAGAUAAGGACCAGCGCGAGGCGAGUUCUCACACGCGUCAGGGUGGAGAAGGCUGGACGGGGGCUGGCUGCACCCCGGGGUAACUAACAUCUACCCAACCUUCACCUCACCCCGCCGCAGAGAUGGGCAGCAGCGGUUGUGCACCAGGCUGCCGUCUUCAGAUCACCUCAGCUGCUCUUGAGGGCUCAACAGUAGCACUAAAACUACCUGAGGAGGGGAAUUUAAAAUGUGCAUCAUUUUAGCAAUAAACUUCGGCGAGUACGCGAAGGUGCACCGUCACAGCGACUGCAGCAUAGUCGCGGAAAGAACCCCAGAUACUGAUUUUUCUAGCUGCUUUGUGUCCAAGAUGGACCUGUGACCCAAUCCUGGAGGAGCUGUGAGGGGCCGUGGCUGGAGUCGGGGCUGAGGAAUCAACAGGAGGCAAACAUGGAGAGAUCCCGCGACUUCCAAUCUGCUUGUUGGAGUCAUCACGCGAAGAUGCUGAUGCCUUGCUGCGGGUGUCAGGUGUUUGUUCCGGGGACGGGACAGUGACUACAUGAGGCAGGAUCAGAAAAGGACACCUCGAUGGCUUCCCCAGGAGGCUCCGUGGAGAGCUGCGCGCAGAGAGGCAAGCAGAAGAGACCAGGUGGGUCUGACCUAAGCAAACUCUUCCUUUGAGAAAAUGUCUGAAAGAAUGGACAAAGGACGGGGACGCCCAGGACCCAGAGGGGGAGCUUCUCCGGACAGAGGCGGGCAGAGUUUGACAGUGGAUACAAGGAAGUCCGCUGGAGAUGCGGUGGGGAGUCCCAGGCCGGACCUUGCGGACCAUUCCCGGCCGCAGCUCCUUCUAAGGCGCCUGGCAUCCAGCUCUGACGGGAAGGUCCCAGUCACCCUGGGGCCCUCCCAGUGCCUGCGUCGCAGAGCCUUUGCACAGCACCAAGCGUUUGGACGCACACCCCAGCCGCUAGCCACGGUGGUCACCAAAGGCGCCCAUUCUUUCGGCCUGCAGGUCCCAUCUGCCCUGGGGACACCACCGCCACCCCCGGGGGGGGGCACCUUUACAGGCAGCACAGAGACAGCGCCCUCUACAGGCUGCUUCCGACGGGGCCCUACUGCCUGCUGGGGUUCUCUCCGCCGACCUGCGUCUUCCUAACCUCAGAGACUCAUUCCUCACCUACAGACGCGGUCUAUGACAUUUUUUACUCCACUGAGCUCCAUCUCCUCUACAAAAGAGGGAAGAGUAAGAGAAGUAGGUGAGGUGAAAGUGAAAGUUGUGUGUCCCUCGGAAAGAAAAGCGUAAGGCUCAACAGAAACAAGGGGUACUUGACUGUGCUGGUACUGGUGAGAGAGACUCUACAACAAGGCAUCGGCACCACGUACGAUUUUCACUGCUUUAACGUCAGCCAAUAAAAUGGCUCAUCUGGACUGUGAGCUGACCACAUGAGAAGCAAGGGCUUCAACCUCAGCCCAGACCUCCCCACGGAUGAGUGCACAGCUGGAUGGGCUAUGGACGGUGGGAAAUCAUGGAAGAUAAACAGAACCAUAAGACAGAAACCAACAGACGGGACUGGGGGGCAGAGAGAAAGGAGGCCGGUGAGACCGGCUGAGGGGGACGCAGGAGGCAGGGUACCCAUCACUCAUUUCUGUUCAUCUCACCUUCCCUCCAUGUGAGAGCUGCUCCCCCCACCCAGAGCUCCGCACCUCCUACACCAUAAGGAAAAUGGCACGUCCAUGACUGUGGGGGCCCUGGCCGCUGAGCCACAGUGACUGGACCACAGUCGGUCACGGACCCAGGAUGGACACGAAACCCAGCAGAGCACGGGGGUUCUGCGAGGUUUUCCUUUGGAGCCAAGGACCCGUGUGCCUUCUCUUGCGAGAUGAAGAACCUGUCAGCAGUCGUAUUUCCCACAGCGGCCUGUGUCGUCUGCAGGAUAUUAAGCCAACACAUCAAAAGGAGAAGCAGCACACAGCUCAGGAUCGAGGGCGGCGAGGGUCCGCAGGGGUACUGCGCGGCCCUGGACUUGCCUUGUCCAGAGCUGAUUCAUCCUUGGCCCUUCCCAGCACAGGUGCCUGCUCCCUCUCCGAUUCUUAACGUAUUAGGUUACUGUCUCUCGCACCCAGGAUGCUCACCACUGCCCUGUGCAGGUCUGAGCACUUCCAUCCGGAGUGUCUGGAGACAGGCUCAUCCUGCUAACUUGCUCCUCCCCACCCGCCACACCCAGCCAGAGACCUUGCCCUGGCUCCAACCCCGGCUGGAAGAAUAAACGACCUCAUUUUCGACUGCUCUACACUGGGUGCAGUCUCCAAGCAACCAAAGCCACAAACAGCCACCAUUCACCACCAGGUUGGCUAAAGCGAAGGGCAGAAAGGGUAUUUUGGAAGACGGCACUCAUUUUCCCAUAGGCUUCAAUAAUCAUUUUAGAGAUGGGUGACAGAGGAAGCCAUUAAAGCAAGAAUCAGAAGCACUCAGUCUAGUCCCGGGACCUGUGGUUUUUGUUUUGCUCUGUUUCUAAAUCAUGCAGUGUGCUUGCUCUGUGUCAUGCACCGCUUUAAACAUUUUAUUAAAUCAAUCUUCAACUACCUACCAAAACAGUAGGUAGGUAAUAUUACAUAUCCAUUUUAAAAUUCAAUAAACAGAGGCUCAGAGAGUUAAAUAACCUCCACAGCACAACAGCGCUGGUAAGUGGACUAGGGCAGGAGCAGUUUUCCUGUAUUUGAAUUUGAGGACUCGCAUUUCUCAUACAUGAAAUAUAAAUUAUAUAAUAGGCUUUAUGCUGGAGAACAAGGAGAGCGUGGGUUUUGGGGUUAGAAUUCUUUGCCCUGGUUCCUUCACGUGUAAAAUCCCCACCACCUUUCUCUGGGUGGAUGGAUCCAGAGGCUAUGUCACACGGCUAGAAGACCCUGUCAGGCACCCCUCCGUCCAUGGACUCAGGGGACUGACAGGCCGUCAUCUUCACCAACGCAGUAUACACAGAACACUGGAUCACUGGCACAGGGAGGCGGAUGCCACGCAGGAGGGAGCAGCACAAUGACCAGAUCACCAUGAUCUUACAGGAAGAAUAAAACGUGUCAGAAUACGCUCCUCCUUCCAGGGUCCACUUACCUGGUGGCCGCAGAGGCCAGGGAUCCCGCACGCCCUCAGUGUCACACAAGAGCCACUUCGGGUCUGCUGUGGCUUCGGCUAGGGGUUGUAAUCACUGAAGCUAGGGUCCGACAGCAUCUGGCGUGGAGAGCACAGUGGCACAGUGGGCACUGAGGCUCAGGCCUGCCUGUCCCUCGGGGCUGACCGUCUCGCGUCCCUGAAUCAGGAGAGUGAGACGUCUGGCAUAGACGUGGCGGUCAGACAGCUCUCCCGGCUGUCACACAGGACCAGGCCGGCUGGAGCAGAGCCCGCCCAGGACCACGCUGGCCAGCUGAGGCAGGGCAGAAGCCCAGCGCAGGGAACACCUGGUGAGCCGGCUCCCCAUGCAGAAGGAAGAGACUUCCUCUAGGCCUGGCUUCCCCUUGGGACAGAAACAUUCUGACCCAGCCUCACAGGAGCUGCAGAGAGUGGCAGAAAUGGACGAGCAGGGCCGGACACGGGACAGGGUCGGGCACAUCGUGGUUCACUUCGAACCCUCUUUGCCGCACGAAUUCCGGCCAGGCGGCGGCACGCUGGCGGUGAGGCGCACUUCCUGCAGCGCCUGGUCCUGGGUUCAAGCCGCCUGCCCCGCUCCCUGGGGACCUGGUCCUUACUCGGUUGUGAUAGCCUCGCGGUGGGGGAACAACAGCCGACAGCCAAGGAGGCCUCCUCCCAGCAAGCGUUGGCUGCGCAGCAGGAUGACACUUUGCUAGUGUGCCUGCUUUACUGUGCCACACACACAGGAAAACGUGGCUUCCCGGGAGCACAGUGCCAGGCUAAGAAAGUGCCAGAAACGGACCUGGAAAACAAACGUUCGGUGCCUGUCAAACUGAACUGUUAAAUACAUUUGGCCAGCAGAGGGCCAUCUGGGCCCCAUGAAACUACCUAAGGGAAAACACCAGAAACCACAACAAAAAUGAAAGACCUCGGUGGCCUGACAUCGGACGGCCUCAGCAUUUGGUACUUGGGCUCACUGGUCAGUCCAGGGUCCUCAGAGUCACAAGCUCCUCCCUCCUCCCACUGUCUCCCACAUAAUGAAUGUACACUUUGAUGUUCCCAAACAGCAACAUCCACAAAGAAGACUGCGUUGUUGCUGGCCUCAGGACCGGCCUGGGCAGUCCACCGUGCUGCCGUCUGGCUGGUCUCUGGGGAGGAGAAAACCAGGGCAGCUGGCACCUCUUUUCUCCUUGUUUGGACGAUCCUGCAAGGUACGUUUCUUCCCCUUCACUGUGGAACAGAUUCUUCCUCCAUAAAUCAAACAAAUCAAACAAUUCCUGCAGCUGAACCAGUGCCCCCAGAGUGUGGCCCCUCAGUCACCACACAGGAGGACGGGGCGGGCCAGACACUUGUAGAAUUGUGCAGACCCUGGGCCGUACUAGUGCUGAGAAAGGAGAGCACACACGGUGCCAGCCGCCCCAUGAGAGGGCCCGUGUCUGCCUUAGACUUCCCUGUCCCUGGUUCUCUCACGAGACACGGAGUGAGGGAUACAUCAAGAAGGUGGGAACCCAAGUCGGCCUCUUUUGUCACCAGUAAAGUGGAAAAACACGGGAUGUCCUGGAUUUGCAAGAUCUCCCUGAAUGAGGGUAGAAAUCUGUGCGGCAAACAUCACCAGAUCAAUCAGUAAUUUCAGAAUCUUAAACAGUCAAACAAAAGAAUAAAUAAGAAAAAGCAGGGAGCAAGUGCCUGCUUAUUUUAGACAUCUGUCUGCCGACGAGAACAUCCCAAACUUGCCUGAGUUCGAGUGUCUGGGAAGAUGCUUUUGAAGGUGGCUUUGGGCUCCCUGACAUUCUGAGGCAACCUCCAGCGGCACUGGAGGCUCUAAGCUCUGCGAAGCGCACCUGGGUUUUCUCUGUCCUUCUCCAGAGGAAGUUCCACUCGGUGUACGAGCACAAAAACAACUACUGGGGGAAAGCACCCGAAUAACACAUCCAUGUUUUCUCAGCACAGGGAGCCCCACGGGCAGCCCUAAGUCCAGCAAGCAGCCGGCUCUUCCUAAGGAAUUGACCAUAGAGCAGAACUACUCCAGAGAUGGGCCAGGGACUGGCACCGCUGUUACGAAGCGAGACAGAAAUGUAAAUUCUCAGACUUCACACCAGACCCACUGACUCGGAAUACCCGGGGAGGGGCCCAGGCACCUGUGUGAACAGGACCCAGGUGACUCAAGUGACGUGGGCACGUAGGUGCACUGUCUGGUUUUUCCUAAGCCUUUCUGACGAUGGUUACAACUUCCCAGGCCCUGGGUGGGACAGAGCCUUGAAGUUCAGAUGUACAAUUAUUCCCAGGUGACUAUUAUCAAACAGGUUCAGGAGACUCUAGGGCAGGGAUGGUGAACCUUUUAGAGCUUUCAAUGAUACCACCAGCCACUGUGGCAUGCAUGCCCUGGGUUUGCCCCCACUGCUCUGGGUGCUUUCCCUAUCUCCAACAGCUGUGAUGGAGGCAAGAGCUCUGUUAAGAGAGACACGUUAAGAAUCGCUGGCAGAGGUUUUUAAAGAUGGACCCUCUGGUCUUUCCCCAAACUCUUGAAAAUCACUGCUUUUAGCAAGUGGUCAUGAAACGCUAUUCUACAUCUUUUGUUUCCAAAGUUGGCAGUGUGCUCUACCCUGUCAAGAAUCACAGCUCUCCCCUGCCACACACAGAAGUCACCACCAUGACGGCUCUGUGCUGGGAGGGCCCCUCAGGGACUUGAUCUUUAUGUGGUUAGCAAUCAGUGGGCCCUUAAAAUGGUGCUGCUCUGUUCUCUGACAGUGCCUGUAACUAAAGGCUCCCCACAGGUCCUCGGAGCUGGGCCUCGGACACGCUGGCGUGGCCUCUUCACCAGCCACCAGCCAAGCUCCUGAUGAAGGCCCCACGGCCUCCCUCCUCUGCACACAGGCCUUCCCUCAAACUCCACCACAGGGAGGGAUUACGGAGUCCACAUGUUGAUCAGCGGCUCCUAAUCAAUUAAUGAAACACGGACUGACUGUGUCUACCUGAAGUGGACACCAGAAGCUGUUUUGAAUUCCAGCUAUAGACGACCCUCAUUUCCCAAAAUGCAGAGCAGGACCAGGUACAUUCCAGGGCACACACUGUUUACUAUGCACUGUCCUGGGAAAAUCUUUUUUGGUCAUCUAAUUCUUGUUCUUUGCUUUUUUACAGUGACAUGAAACUGGGGGAGAAACCUCUUUUCCCAGAGUUUUCACUUUAAGACCUUUCAAAUCUAUUGGAAAAGUUGGUAAUUCCUCCAGUGAAUUUACAAUUUUAGUUACGUGUAAUUCAGUUCAACUUCCAUCUCCACUUCUAAUAGCUGUUCUGUGAUUAGACUCUGGAGAAUGAGUUUUCAGUUAAGUGACUUCCAGGUGUCCUCAGAGUUGUCUGUCUAUUCCAUACUUAAGAUUGUGUAAAACAGGUAUUUACUAUACUUCAGUAAAGAUGAGGGAUCCAGUCAGCUGUGAAUCUGGUAAGUGCGUCCAUUACAAGAGAGCAGUAAGUGCUCUCCGCAACAUGCCCUUACAUGAUUGCUCCCCGCAGUCUGUGCUGGGGUGUUUGGUCUCGCUGGACAAUGGCUCACAGUGCCAGUGUUCCACGUGUGAGGUCUAGCCCUCGGUUUCCCUGUAGGGUUCUCAGUGGGCUCCAGCGACGUGGAAAUGUCACAUUGAGGUACUGGGAAGCUUUACUGCUUCCAAAGCAGUCCAAGUGCACAGGCAGUGUGUGGGCCAUCACUCUCCUGGCACAUCGGCACGCACUGCCUUUAUUGCUUUCACUUUAGAAUACUUUAUUUAUAAAGAUUAAAGCCUUUGUUCUUCACAGAAAAGGAUCACUGUGCUCUUCCACGCUCGCUUUAUGAUUAGGCUUGAAAAGUAAACUUGUCAAUUUUCAAACAGAAAAGCUUUCCUGAGAUUUGGGCUGAAACUGCACUGAACCUCAGAAUAACUAAAUAUGAGGAGAAACAAUGUCUUUACAGGACCAACUUUUCUAAUCCA
Long non-coding RNA from Fukomys damarensis (Damara mole-rat), 7486 nucleotides. RefSeq lists it as uncharacterized. The record is from RefSeq and is a predicted model, not a curated record. The transcript has 4 exons. Lineage: Eukaryota; Metazoa; Chordata; Mammalia; Rodentia; Bathyergidae.